AUUAUUUUAGCAUAUUAGUGCUUUAAAUUUAGAAUUUAAAAAAAGUAAUUUAAAUUACAAAUAAUA
Molecule: transfer RNA, 66 nt
Filed under: Planopleura kaempferi
Lineage: Eukaryota; Metazoa; Arthropoda; Insecta; Hemiptera; Cicadidae
Description: tRNA-Leu
Source: RNAcentral